Molecule: unclassified non-coding RNA, 326 nt
Filed under: soil metagenome
Description: partial contains 5.8S ribosomal RNA, internal transcribed spacer 2, and large subunit ribosomal RNA
Rfam family: 5.8S ribosomal RNA (bases 1-120)
Source: RNAcentral
GAUGAAGAACGUAGCGAAAUGCGAUAAGUAAUGUGAAUUGCAGAAUUCAGUGAAUCAUCGAAUCUUUGAACGCACAUUGCGCCCCCUGGUAUUCCGGGGGGCAUGCCUGUCCGAGCGUCAUUACAACCCUCAAGCUCAGCUUGGUGUUGGGCCCCGCCGCCCCGGCGGGCCCUAAAGUCAGUGGCGGUGCCGUCCGGCUCCGAGCGUAGUAAUUCUUCUCGCUCUGGAGGUCCGGUCGUGUGCUCGCCAGCAACCCCCAAUUUUUUUCAGGUUGACCUCGGAUCAGGUAGGGAUACCCGCUGAACUUAAGCAUAUCAAUCGGAGGA